This 257-nucleotide ribosomal RNA is filed under the name uncultured bacterium. RNAcentral describes it as "partial 16S ribosomal RNA". It matches the Rfam family "Bacterial small subunit ribosomal RNA", at positions 524 to 777 of the family's 1533-position model. The record is from RNAcentral.
UACGAGGGGGGCGAGCGUUGUUCGGAAUCACUGGGCGUAAAGCGUGCGUAGGCGGUUAUGAAAGUUAGGAGUGAAAGCCCCCAGGCUCAACUUGGGAAUUGCUUUUAAUACUACAUGACUUGAAUUCGGGAGAGGAUAGCGGAAUUGUCAGUGUAGCAGUGAAAUGCGUAGAUAUUGACAGGAACACCGGUGGCGUAAGCGGCUAUCUGGACCGACAUUGACGCUGAGGCACGAAAAGCGUGGGGAGUCAAACAGGA